CUGGGAACUGGAAUGAACUGGUCUGCGCGGCCUGGUGAAACUGGUUUGGCCACUAAUCCAACAGUGACUUCCCGAUAAGGGCAAAUAAAAAGCGGCGCACUGGACGGUGCCCGCCCAGUAGGGAGCGCUCCUGAACCCCGCAUGGCGCCGCCCAGAGGAACGAAUCAAACGCACCUCGGCGCUCGGCCCUGGCCACGGAUUGUGAAAUCCAGGUAAACCCGGGCAGGUAUUGUGUUGCACUGCAUUGUCACUGAUGGCAAUAGUGGUACAUUGUGAUGCGAUGUUGGGGCAGAAAGUGCUGUCCACAGUUACUGUUGUCUGAGCGUUUUCCAGGUCACCCUGCCGGGACACACGGCCCUGCUGCUGUGAGAGGAGCAGGACACAAAGGAGGUCGGUCUGCACGUGACUGGCACAAGGUGACCUUUAUGACCACUGGUUAUCUUAACUGUUUGUAAGAAGAGUAAACUCCAGAUAAUGUGUCAUAAUCCUGGCGACAUUUUUAAUUCAUGUAAUGCUAAAAUUAGUUUGAAACUGUAUUUAAAGUGGUGAAAAUGUAUGAUCCUAAGUGUGGAGUUUAAAGGAUGACAGUGUUCAAUAAAUGUGCUUUAAUUGAGAAA
This is a long non-coding RNA of Epinephelus moara (kelp grouper), 617 nucleotides long. RefSeq lists it as uncharacterized. The record is from RefSeq and is a predicted model, not a curated record. The transcript has 2 exons. NCBI's taxonomy places the organism in Eukaryota, Metazoa, Chordata, Actinopteri, Perciformes, Serranidae.